This 358-nucleotide transfer-messenger RNA is filed under the name Candidatus Zymogenia. Its description in RNAcentral is "JAFGAS01 sp016933535 Standard tmRNA". It matches the Rfam family "transfer-messenger RNA". From Rfam's summary of the family: Bacterial tmRNA, also known as 10Sa RNA or SsrA, is named for its dual tRNA and mRNA-like properties. The record is from RNAcentral. RNAcentral also lists the same sequence under 1 other name. Lineage: Bacteria; Deltaproteobacteria.
GGGGGCGAUAAGGGUUCGACGGGGAUAUUUUGAUCUCGAUGCUGCAUGCCGGGGAGCCUCACCUACCCGUUAAUCAUGGUGGGAAUAAACACAAGCGCAGAAAAUUACGACUACGCUCUAGCCGCUUAAGUCGGCUAGUGUCCGCUCGGUUCCGCUCCUGCCGGGGCCGAAACGGGCAUGACCAAUGCGGGAUAAGCCGAUCAUAACUUCCGGGGUGAUCGGACGAAAAUAAACGGAAUCCCCUCAUAAAGACCCCGCCGUUGGGGGCUUGUGAGGUGGUACAAAACGACGGCUGAGCAUGGAGUAUGUAUCGGGUGAAGAUCUUCGGACGCGGGUUCGAUUCCCGCCGCCUCCACCA